GACGAACGCUGGCGGCGUGCUUAGCACAUGCAAGUCGAACGGUGAAGCGCUUGCCUUUUUGGUGGGUGUGGAUGAGUGGCGAACGGGUGAGUAACACGUGAGUAACCUGCCCUCUUCUUCUGGAUAACCUCAUGAAAGUGGGGCUAAUACGGGGUAUUCCGGGUCUGUCGCAUGGCGGGUUUGGGAAAGAUUGCGCCUUUGGGUGUUUUCGGUGGGGGAUGGGCUCGCGGCCUAUCAGCUUGUUGGUGGGGUGAUGGCCUACCAAGGCGGUGACGGGUAGCCGGCCUGAGAGGGUGGACGGCCACACUGGGACUGAGACACGGCCCAGACUCCUGCGGGAGGCAGCAGUGGGGAAUAUUGCACAAUGGGCGCAAGCCUGAUGCAGCGACGCCGCGUGAGGGAUGGAGGCCUUCGGGUUGUGAACCUCUUUCGCCAGUGAAGCAGGCCUGCUCCUGUGUGGGUGGGUUGACGGUAGCUGGAUAAGAAGCGCCGGCUAACUACGUG
Molecule: ribosomal RNA, 504 nt
Filed under: uncultured bacterium
Lineage: Bacteria
Description: partial 16S ribosomal RNA
Rfam family: Bacterial small subunit ribosomal RNA
Source: RNAcentral